GACGAACGCUGGCGGCGUGCCUAAUACAUGCAAGUCGAGCGGACGGAUGGGAGCUUGCUCCCAGACCGUCAGCGGCGGACGGGUGAGUAACACGUGGGCAACCUGCCUGUAAGACUGGGAUAACUCCGGGAAACCGGGGCUCAUACCGGAUAACUCUUUCCCUCACAUGAGGGAAAGCUGAAAGAUGGCAUCUCGCUAUCACUUACAGAUGGGCCCGCGGCGCAUUAGCUAGUUGGUGAGGUAACGGCUCACCAAGGCGACGAUGCGUAGCCGACCUGAGAGGGUGAUCGGCCACACUGGGACUGAGACACGGCCCAGACUCCUACGGGAGGCAGCAGUAGGGAAUCUUCCGCAAAGGACGAAAGUCUGACGGAGCAACGCCGCGUGAGUGAUGAAGGUUUUCGGAUCGUAAAACUCUGUUGUCAGGGAAGAACAAGUACCGGAGUAACUGCCGGUACCUUGACGGUACCUGACCAGAAAGCCACGGCUAACUACGUG
Molecule: ribosomal RNA, 498 nt
Filed under: uncultured bacterium
Lineage: Bacteria
Description: partial 16S ribosomal RNA
Rfam family: Bacterial small subunit ribosomal RNA
Source: RNAcentral